UCGGCGCCAGGGAGGCCUCGCGAUCCUUGAGGCGGGUCGAGAUAUCGGUGCGACAGCGCACUUCCAGUUGUGCGGCGUCGAA
RNAcentral lists this transfer RNA (82 nucleotides) under Halomonas elongata. Its description in RNAcentral is "tRNA-Leu". The record is from RNAcentral. Lineage: Bacteria; Pseudomonadati; Pseudomonadota; Gammaproteobacteria; Oceanospirillales; Halomonadaceae.